AGGUUAGUAUAUUAUACAUUACUCUAUUUUCUAGAUUUGUACAUAUUAAAUAUUAAAUAUGAAGAAUUGAGAAAAUGCAGAAGGAUUGUAAAGCAAGAGAUUUUUCAAUUGACGGAAGAUGUAGACAGAUGUAAGUACUAUAAAUUCCGGACGAAUAACGGCACCGUUUCUAGUGAAUGUAAAGGUAGGCAAGUAUUCCUUAUCUAGUAUUUUACAGCCUCGUCUUAUUCGUGUUUCUUUUUUCCUUUUUAUAAGUGAAAAUAACGGAUUGGCCAUAAUUAUGUCGGAACAUAAUCGGACACGUAACAUUUUAAAAUGCAACGUGUUACGUUAAUUGCAAUUAGUGGACUCGUUUAAUCGUAUCUAGUCGGACUUGGUUUGUGUAAAAAUGUUAUUAGAGAAACGCAAGCAAGAUACGAUAUCUCUCAUUAAUAAAAUCUGUCUGGAGAUUCUUUGUUGUCUAAAUUUCGUAUUACACGCCAGUAACUAAUGCGUUACGAAGCGGAAGCUAAAGCUUGCUACUUCCGGUUCGCGUUUCUUUCCAUUUCCUUUCUGGUCACAUAUCCUCCUCUGUGAAUUCUUACUGAAACGUCGGCAUUUUUAUGAACCAGGAUUCUCAUUCCCAGUUUAAUCUCACAAAUUAUAUUUGCUUUAACUAAACAAAUUUAUAAAUUUACGAAUUUAUAAAAUUCUUCUACUCUACUACGCUAUAUUUAUGUAUUCUACCAAAUUUUAAGAAUUAAAAAAAUUCAUAAACAAUAAAUAAAUUCAUAAUAAAAGUACUUCGUCAUAAACUGUUUUGCAAAGUAUUUGUAUGUAUUACGUAUAUAUAUUCAUGAAACGUAAAUAAUAAAAUGGUUUUAAUGUAUGUUGAAAUAUAAUUAAUAAUCCAUGCACGUUCCGUCGUAAGAAACUUGACAGAAAGACUCGUCAUAUGUUCAUACAUCGAAUCCGGCACUCACGGUUCUUUUACAUUUUACAGUUGUUGGAGCAGUGAUGCACAAUCGACAAUACUUCGCAUUCACGGUACCUAAGCGAUCUCAAAAUCUUAAAAAUCGCAUGGUUAUUUUCGUGUACAAGACUUGUCCUGUUCACUAUGUGCAAUAUUAUAGCAAAAUGAAGUAUAUUCGCAAAUGAAUACAGUUUCGCAUGUUUGACCGGCAGGAGUGUACAAUUAAAAAAGCUUGUGCACCACUGAAGCUAGAAUGACUCAUAUUCGUCGGGCUCUCCCUACCAUUUCUUUCUGUGUUUUCGCUUCCACUUCGUUUUUUCCCUAUUUACGUCGCUUAUAUUCGUUACUUUUAGGCAUUUCAACGACUGUUUUGAACAGACGAAAAUAUCACUAGCCAAGAAGAUUGUACAUUGUACUUUUACAUCGAAACUUGUACUUCAGAAGAAACUUGUACAUUUCAUGAAGCGGACUCACUGGUUCAAAGUCGCAAAACCUUUAUCAGUACUUGAAACUGUUAUGACUAUGACACAAUGCUUCUUGGAGUUCCAUUAUCGUUUGAGAGAAAUCAACAUUAUUUAUAUUUCAAAGAGCAAGUUGCGUUAAAUGUGUUACAUAAAAGUUUUGGACCUACUAUAUUUUUUACAAGCAUAUUUUUAAAAAAUCAAGAAACAAAUUUCACUCUCUGGCAAAAUCUAACAUGGAAGUACUUUCUAAUGAAGAACAGUACUCAAUCUAUCUUGAGAAGCUAUUUCUUUCAAAAUUUCUUAUGAUUAUAUUCGUUCUAAAAUUAGUUGAAUAUAGUCUAGCGCUGUAACAGGCAAUAAGAAAUAUACACAAGUGCGAUAAGACAAAAAGAACAGAAUGGAAGAAAUUACAGAUUCAAGAAGGAUGAGAAGGCACAGAUAUAGCGUACAUCAGUGGCUCCAAGAGAACGUUUCAAGGGAUACGUUCCAACGGUGGGUCAGCAUCGACAAGGCUGUGUAUAGGUCCUUAUAUGGUAGCUAGCCGUAUGGCUGUAUAUAGAGAGAGCUCGAAAGAGGCUGAAUACGCAACUGUGAAACACAUUCGUGUCCUUUACGUAUCCGCUUGUUGAAUAUUUCUUCUCUCCCUAUCAUCGGUACACGUGUAGGAGUCUUGCAUCGAGUGCACGCAUACGAAAGCACCCACUGGUCUGCGUUAUGCGUAACGGUAACAAAAGAAGAGGAGAUUACUUUAGUUGUACGGUUAGCACGUUUGAGUAUGUCCAAUACAUACGAAUUAAUCUUCUCAAGGCCAGUUUCAUUUUUCAAAAUUGUAUAUAACUUUAUGAAAAGAAACAAGCCUUUAUACAUAAUAAAGAAUCUCAUAGUAAUGCCAAAAUUAAUGUAGUCUUAUUCAAAUGCUUGAUACCGUACGAUUUCGCGGCAUGUUACAACGUUAAGUCGGUCGAUUUCACAAAAGUCAAGAAAGCAACGGUAGUUCUCGAUGAUUCUAAAAGAUGUAUCUCAUUUGAUUUUAUCACGAUACAACGAGGGGGAAGAGGAGAGCUAAAAACGGCUUCAGUACGCCAGUGUCCGAAGAGAAAUCACGAUAAAUCCUACUUGAUCUCGCGAGGAGAAAAGAGGUCUGCAAGUUAAUAAGGAAACUAGGUUGCUCGCACCGACGCGCUAGCCGGUUUGCAGGACGCGUCGGUGUACGCUACGCUUCGACGAGCCAUGCUCAUCGCGAGAUUGAACACAUCUAUGAGACUCACGUUUAACUGGGUAUCUUGAAAUCUCUGUACUAUAAUUACCAUGAAGAACGUUUAGUACUUUGUCAUAAACAACAGUAAUUAUUCGAAUUUUGACGUCAUUCAUACAUAUCUUGUACAUUGAACGUUUAUAAUAUAUAUUUUUAGUUGAAGAAGAUAUGAACAGCUGCAAACGGAUCGCGCGCAUUAUUCAUAACUUCUACGUAAGUCUGGUGAACGGACCGGCGUGUGUCUGGAACCGAUCGACUGUAAACGCAUCCGGUGGAAUCGAUAAGAUCAGUUAAUCGUCCAAAGGUUUCUGGGCAGACAUUGUCGUGGGUUCGUGGUAAAGAGAGAUCUUACGGCUGACGGCUAACGAGUUCGCGCGGCCUGCCAAUUAACUUGGUUGUAAGAAAAGCAAGAAUUCGCCGAUGAAAGCCACGUCAUACAUUAAAUUAUACCGCUAUUUCGACGCAGUAACCGAUGCGGAAGGAAUCCUCUUCAGCGGUCAAGAUUUCGUGAACGAGUACCAAGAUUGCUUUCGUCAUUACGCUUCUGCAUGACAAGCGACAUCCCGAUUGUGAUACUUGACGAAUAAGGGGUGAUACAGUCGUGUUCAGAAGGCACUCUUUUCGUCAGGAACGUACGAUAAAUCUUCUACCAUUUGUUUAAUAAAUUAACGAUAUAUUACAAAAAUUUUUUUAAAGGAAAUCAUAACACUUUAUAUAUGUUCUAACAUCAAGCUUUUUAAUAUUUUCUUUUUAUUAAUCAUCCCAUUAUAUUCUAGAUUUAACUGUAGAUUGUGUUUUAAGUUCUAGUCCAGAAUCGACCUUGAGUAUGCUCGAAGAAGUCUUAGGAUAUUUCUCUUCCGGAACGUGAAUGAAAUAGCGGUGCGCGCGCGCCCCUUUGGGGCUGUCGUGUAAAUAUAUACGUGUCGGUUUUAUACAUGUGGGGUUGCAUCGGGGGAGCGGUCGACUGGUGGCAGACGGUUUCAUCGAUUGGCAAUGCGGGGGUCGAAGAGUGGGGUAUCUGAACUCUUCACAGCUAUCUAUGCGUACUACAUAACGUAUCGACGACCUCGGCUUUCAUGGUCAAUGGUAAAAAGAAAUCUAGCUCCCGACGAAAGGCAGUAAAUACUUGCAAUUACAAGGACAAAAGCGUGCUUGCCAGUCGGCAACCAGAAGCGCAUUUGUGUGUCUGAUGCGCGGCGGAGUGCAUCUGUCAAAACCACGCCCUUAUCCCAUCCUAUCAUCCUAACGGACUCACAAGAGCCCAGCGAUAAGUACUUACUUACUUAAUGGCCAAUGCUUCCGAAAUUCGUAUGACUCAUUUAUCCCAAGCUUAAUUAUUAUUUCAAAUGUUUACCGGCAUAUACAAAAAUAUAUUUCUAAGGAUUAUAAAGUGUGUAAAACACGAAGGGUGGUAAUAAUAAUAUUUCUUAUUUUAGAUAUUCAAAUAUCGUAAAAGUAUAAUAGUAAUUUAUACAAGACGCUACGAUAUAAUAUUUUAAACGCCUGUUAUAUAAAAGAAAAAAAAAAUGAAAAAUUUAUUGUUUCGUAUCAACGAUUCAGAUUCGUAGGUGUACAGAACGCGUAUGGAGAUUUGACCACACCCCUCCAUUUUCGAUCGGCGAAUAAUGAAGACGAUCGAUAUCCUCAAAAGUAUAUUAUCCUUAUGGCGAUUUCCAAGUUCAGGCGCAGGAAGGAUGACUCGAGUGACUAACCGAUACCGAUCGUCUUCGACCAGUUUUCGUCUUAUUAAAAAACAUGCAAGUAUACACACACGAUAUACGAUACCGCCUUUCUUCGAACGGCAACGAAGAAAGCCGGUUCGCUUUGAUACGUCAACGAAAAUAUCACCGUAUGCUUUUUUAUACACUUGAAAGCGCAUGCAAUUUAGAUGAUCGUAGAUAGAAUGCAUCGGCGGCAAAGA
This is a long non-coding RNA of Bombus pyrosoma, 4592 nucleotides long. RefSeq lists it as uncharacterized. The record is from RefSeq and is a predicted model, not a curated record. The transcript is spliced from 4 exons. Lineage: Eukaryota; Metazoa; Arthropoda; Insecta; Hymenoptera; Apidae.